RNAcentral lists this ribosomal RNA (253 nucleotides) under uncultured bacterium. RNAcentral describes it as "partial 16S ribosomal RNA". It matches the Rfam family "Bacterial small subunit ribosomal RNA", at positions 524 to 776 of the family's 1533-position model. The record is from RNAcentral.
UCCGGAGGAGGCAAGCGUUAUCCGGAAUUACUGGGCGUAAAGCGUGCGCAGGCGGUUUUGUAAGUCAGAUGUGAAAUCCCCGGGCUUAACCUGGGAACUGCGUUUGAAACUACAAGGCUAGAGUGUAGCAGAGGGGGGUGGAAUUCCACGUGUAGCAGUGAAAUGCGUAGAGAUGUGGAGGAACACCGAUGGCGAAGGCAGCCCCCUGGGUGAACACUGACGCUCAGGCACGAAAGCGUGGGGAGCAAACAGG